Molecule: small nuclear RNA, 103 nt
Filed under: Carlito syrichta (Philippine tarsier)
Lineage: Eukaryota; Metazoa; Chordata; Mammalia; Primates; Tarsiidae
Source: RNAcentral
AUGCUUGCUUUGACGGCACAUAUACUAAAAUUGUAAGAUAUAGAGAUUAGCACAACCCCUGUGCAAGGAGGACACACAAAUUUAUGAAUCAUUCCUAUUUUGA